GACGAACGCUGGCGGCGUGCCUAAUACAUGCCAGUCGAACGCUUCUUUCCUCCCGAGUGCUUGCACUCAAUUGGAAAGAGGAGUGGCGGACGGGUGAGUAACACGUGGGUAACCUACCCAUCAGAGGGGGAUAACACUUGGAAACAGGUGCUAAUACCGCAUAACAGUUUAUGCCGCAUGGCAUAAGAGUGAAGGGCGCUUUCGGGUGUCGCUGAUGGAUGGACCCGCGGUGCAUUAGCUAGUUGGUGAGGUAACGGCUCACCAAGGCCACGAUGCAUAGACGACCUGAGAGGGUGAUCGGCCACACUGGGACUGAGACACGGCCCAGACUCCUACGGGAGGCAGCAGUAGGGAAUCUUCGGCAAUGGACGAAAGUCUGCCCGAGCAACGCCGCGUGAGUGAAGAAGGUUUUCGGAUCGUAAAACUCUGUUGUUAGAGAAGAACAAGGACGUUAGUAACUGAACGUCCCCUGACGGUAUCUAACCAGAAAGCCACGGCUAACUACGUG
Molecule: ribosomal RNA, 508 nt
Filed under: uncultured bacterium
Lineage: Bacteria
Description: partial 16S ribosomal RNA
Rfam family: Bacterial small subunit ribosomal RNA
Source: RNAcentral